This is a non-coding RNA of Aegilops tauschii subsp. strangulata, 481 nucleotides long. The record is from RefSeq and is a predicted model, not a curated record. Lineage: Eukaryota; Viridiplantae; Streptophyta; Magnoliopsida; Poales; Poaceae.
UUCAUGGAUCUUUUCAUUGUAAGUGCAGCAAAUUUAGAAUUUGCUGUGUUUUUGUGUUUCAGAGUCGAUUCGAUGGGCGAUUUCAAAGUAGAAAUAGAUGUUCAGUCCUACUUGACAAUUGUAGACGGCAAAAGAGUUUACAGAAGGGGCAAAACAUGGGAUUUCAUGGUCGGUCAGGACUUGUCUGUGGCGCGGAUAAAGGAGGUUGUGGAGGAGAAGUUCAAGUGGUCUCCUGAUCAGAGAAUGACCAUUUGGUAAAGAAACUUCCCUUUGAACAUACUUGUGGGAGCAAAAACUGCAGCAAAGGAAUGGCAAAUAGAGAUUGGCUCGCUGAUAAAGGGAAGGCUGCACUUGAGGAGAAUGCCACGGUGAGUGCAAAACAGCUUAAAGAACGCUUGCAAAGGGAGUAUGAUAUUAAGCUUCAAUACACCGAUGUUUGGAAAGGGAGAGCUCGUGCAAAGGAUCAAUUAGAAGGUACAUA